CCCUUAGAUGUCCUGGGCUGCACGCGUGUUACAAUGGUAUAUUCAGAAAGUUUCGCACUUUUUCCUCGGCGUGCUUUUUGUGGCACGUUUGAAGAAAAAAUCCUGGUUAGAAAUAAUUGGGGAAUCAUGAAAUGUAUAUCGUGACCGGGAUCGACCACUGGAACUAUUGGUCGUGAACGAGGAAUUCCUAGUAAUCGCAUGUCAUCAGCAUGCAAUGAUUACGUCCCUGCCCUUUGUACACACCGCCCGUCGCUUGUACCGAUUGGAUGGUCAAAUGAAAUAUUCUGAUAUAACGAAGACCAAUUGCGGUUUUUGAUAUAAACGAAUAUUAAAUUUGAUUAUCUAGAGGAACAAGAAGUCGUAACA
RNAcentral lists this ribosomal RNA (366 nucleotides) under uncultured eukaryote. RNAcentral's name for it is "partial 18S ribosomal RNA". It matches the Rfam family "Eukaryotic small subunit ribosomal RNA", at positions 1470 to 1796 of the family's 1831-position model. The record is from RNAcentral.